UGGGGAAUAUUGGACAAUGGGCGCAAGCCUGAUCCAGCCAUGCCGCGUGAGUGAUGAAGGCCUUAGGGUUGUAAAGCUCUUUCGCCGACGAAGAUAAUGACGGUAGUCGGAGAAGAAGCCCCGGCUAACUUCGUGCCAGCAGCCGCGGUAAUACGAAGGGGGCUAGCGUUGUUCGGAAUCACUGGGCGUAAAGCGCACGUAGGCGGAUUGUUAAGUCAGGGGUGAAAGCCUGGAGCUCAACUCCAGAACUGCCCUUGAUACUGGCAAUCUCGAGUCCGGAAGAGGUAAGUGGAACUGCGAGUGUAGAGGUGAAAUUCGUAGAUAUUCGCAAGAACACCAGUGGCGAAGGCGGCUUACUGGUCCGGUACUGACGCUGAGGUGCGAAAAGCGUGGGGAGCAAAACAGGAUUAGAUACCCUGGUAGUCCACGCCGUAAAACGAUGGAGGCUAGCCGUUGGCGAGCAUGCUCGUCAGUGGCGCAGCUAACGCAUUAAGCCUCCCGCCUGGGGAGUACGGUCGCAAGAUUAAAACUCAAAUGAAUUGACGGGGUCAUAGCUG
RNAcentral lists this ribosomal RNA (557 nucleotides) under uncultured bacterium. Its description in RNAcentral is "partial 16S ribosomal RNA". It matches the Rfam family "Bacterial small subunit ribosomal RNA", at positions 355 to 932 of the family's 1533-position model. The record is from RNAcentral.